GUUCAAUACAAUUGGCACUUGAAUCAGACACGUCUAUCCCAAGUGUGGCCUCCUGUCUGUAUGCAGCCAUAGCAAAGCCUCCCAGGAGCACUUCAUCCCUGGGGUCGCACACCCACUUCUCGCAGCACUCUCCGGGGACUUCGAUCUUCCGCGGGAAGGGGCAGUCGGGGCCGGGGAGCAGCAGGCCCAGGUUGCAGCGGGGCAGGCACCCGAUCUGCCCGUCCCGGCAGGUGCACUGGUACUUGCAGCUGGGCUGGAACGUCUCCCCGUUGCGGUAAAUCAUCCCAUCGAACACGCAGUUGUCCCCUUCCAGCACCAUGCAGAUGCCGGCGCCGCCGCCGUCCUCGGGGCCGCGGUCGCAGUAGAGGCCGCCGCUCUCGUCGCAGGGCAGCAGAGGGGAGCAGCUCUCGCCGCGCUGCCGGGCGCACACCAGGCAGCAGCCGCAGCCGUCCAGCACGGCGGGCACUCCCGGGGCGCAGCGCGGCGGCUCCGCGGGGCAGCGCCCGCCGCAGGGCCGGGGGCACGCCGCCUCCCGCCCGCUCACCUCGCACGGCCGGAGGAGGAGCAGGAGCAGCAGCAGGACGGGCAGCCCCUGCCCGCCGCCCGUCUCCAUAGUCCCGGCCGUCUACCCGCCGCGCCGCU
This 642-nucleotide long non-coding RNA is filed under the name Gallus gallus (chicken). The record is from RNAcentral. Lineage: Eukaryota; Metazoa; Chordata; Aves; Galliformes; Phasianidae.